GGCGGGCGCCUCAGCGCCAGACACAAUAGGCGGGCGGAGCAGCCUGCCCCCCGGCCUGCCGCGCGCUGGGCGGGGCCGCGCCUCCCACGGCCUCGCGCUGGGCGGGGCCGGGCCGCCCGCCAAACAGCCGCCGGCGUCGCGCCGCCCCUGAGGAGCGCGGCCUCCCUGAGGCAGUGGGUCUGGUGUGGCGGCGGUGCGGGGGGUUGUCGCCUGAGCGUGGAGCCCGUCGUGCCUUGCCGGCAUUAAGCGUGACUCCAAAGCGUGUUUCAUGCUUAUUCGUGCCUUUAAGGCACGUCCCUAAAGCUGUGGGAGGGCUCCGGAGAGGUGGCGUGCCACAGGUGUAAUUGGGCCUUAAUAACUGCGUGUCAGUCGCUGCAAACGGCUGCCUCGUUUGUCUUUCAUAUUAGGAUUUGUAUUAAGAGGUACCUGUAUCUCUCUACAUAUGCAAUCCCUGAAUACUACGUAAGUGACCACAAAUUCGUCGUACUUGUGUGCCAACAAUAUUGACCAUCAACACCUGACAGAGAAAGCCCUGCAUCAGAAUUCCCCACCAUCAAGUAGGAGUUGAGACCUCAAACUCUUUACUUUAAGGAAGUGUUGAACUACUGCUGAUCUGGAGCUGGCUUUGUAUUUCAUGUUUGUGAGCUGUGUAAACGAAGAUCAUCUCUGGAGUUGCUGAUUUUGGAGUCACAUUUGUUAAGCCACUACACAGAGGUAAGAGAGGAGGAGAAGUCUCCCCAGCAAAAACAUAUGUAUCACUUCCACAAACACGAACCUUUAGACCACAAAAUUGCUGAAGGUGAGGGAGGCUUCGACCUCCCUGCAGGCAAUGUGCGGAUCCAGAUUUAGGAGACACUUAGCUUUGCUCUUUGUGUUCCAGAGGAACCUCUCCCAUGCUAGAUCUCCUCUGGGUUUUCAUUCAUCAUUAUCUUACAUCAUCUGUAAACCAGAGAUAGAUGUAUUUAAAACAUAUGUAACCAGCCAGUUACAUGAAAAAUAAAAAUGGAGGGAGGAAAGAAGUCUUAAACUGAUUGGUGUAAUCAGGGCUCACCUGUUGUGUUUAUGUUCUGUGUGAAGGGUUGUCUCUGGCAGGGUUUUUCUGACCCCCCUUUAUAUCACUUUUGUUACCCCUGACACACCUUUGCAGCCCUUCCCAUUUCAGAUUUCCUCCUGCCCUCUUGCUUAGCGACUUUUGACCAAGCCAAGCCUUGCCACUCCCUCUGGGGAAAAUCCUAUAGGAAAUUACUACUAGUCCCCAGCCCUGUUCUUUCUCCAGGGAGAACAGAGA
Falco peregrinus (peregrine falcon) is the source of this 1288-nucleotide long non-coding RNA. RefSeq lists it as uncharacterized. NCBI's taxonomy places the organism in Eukaryota, Metazoa, Chordata, Aves, Falconiformes, Falconidae. The record is from RefSeq and is a predicted model, not a curated record. The transcript is spliced from 3 exons.